AAAUUGAAGAGUUUGAUCAUGGCUCAGAUUGAACGCUGGCGGCAGGCCUAACACAUGCAAGUCGAACGGUAGCACAGAGAGCUUGCUCUCGGGUGACGAGUGGCGGACGGGUGAGUAAUGUCUGGGAAACUGCCUGAUGGAGGGGGAUAACUACUGGAAACGGUAGCUAAUACCGCAUAACGUCGCAAGACCAAAGAGGGGGACCUUCGGGCCUCUUGCCAUCAGAUGU
RNAcentral lists this ribosomal RNA (229 nucleotides) under Enterobacter kobei. RNAcentral's name for it is "partial 16S ribosomal RNA". It matches the Rfam family "Bacterial small subunit ribosomal RNA", at positions 1 to 228 of the family's 1533-position model. The record is from RNAcentral. Lineage: Bacteria; Pseudomonadati; Pseudomonadota; Gammaproteobacteria; Enterobacterales; Enterobacteriaceae. RNAcentral also lists the same sequence under 1 other name.